CCUACGGGGUGCAGCAGUGAGGAAUAUUGGUCAAUGGACGAGAGUCUGAACCAGCCAAGUAGCGUGAAGGAUGACUGCCCUAUGGGUUGUAAACUUCUUUUAUAUGGGAAUAAAAUGUUCCACGUGUGGGAUUUUGUAUGUACCAUAUGAAUAAGGAUCGGCUAACUCCGUGCCAGCAGCCGCGGUAAUACGGAGGAUCCGAGCGUUAUCCGGAUUUAUUGGGUUUAAAGGGGGCGUAGGUGGAUUGUUAAGUCAGUUGUGAAAGUUUGCGGCUCAACCGUAAAAUUGCAGUUGAAACUGGCAGUCUUGAGUACAGUAGAGGUGGGCGGAAUUCGUGGUGUAGCGGUGAAAUGCUUAGAUAUCACGAAGAACUCCGAUUGCGAAGGCAGUUCACUGGACUGCAACUGACACUGAGGCUCGAAAGUGUGGGUAUCAAACAGGAUUAGAUACCCCUGUAGUC
RNAcentral lists this ribosomal RNA (460 nucleotides) under uncultured bacterium. RNAcentral describes it as "partial 16S ribosomal RNA". It matches the Rfam family "Bacterial small subunit ribosomal RNA", at positions 338 to 795 of the family's 1533-position model. The record is from RNAcentral.